AGGUGAGAGUUGACCAGGAGAGAUGACCAGGAGAGGUGAGAGUUGACCAGGAGAGGUGACCAGGAGAGUUGAGAGAGGCGACCAGUAGAGGUGAGAGAGGUGACCAGGAGAGGUGAGAGGUGACCAGGAGAGGUGAGAGGUGACCAGGAGAGCUGACCAGGAGAGGUGAGAGGUGACCAGGAGAGGUGAGAGGUGACCAAGAGAGGUGAGAGGUGACCAGGAGAGAUGAGAGGUGACCAGGAGAGGUGACCAGAAGAGGUGACCAGGAGAGGUGAGAGGUGACAAGGAGAGGUUAGAGGUGACCAGGAGAGGUGAGAGGUGACCAGGAGAGGUGAGAGGUGACCAGGAGAAAUGAGAGGUGACCAGGAGAGGUGAGAGGUGACCAGGAGAGGUGAGAGGUGACCAGGAGAGGUGAGAGGUGACCAGGAGAGAUGAGAGGUGACCAGGAGAGAUGAGAGGUGACCAGGAGAGGUGAGAGGUGACUAGGAGAGGUGAGAGGUGACCAGGAGAGGUGAGAGCUGACCAGGAGAGAUGACCAGGAGAGGUGAGAGGUAACCAGGACAGGUGAGACACCUGGGCCAAAUACUAUAAAGAUAAUUAUUACUUCAAACUGCUGCAGAAACAAGAAAGUAUCACCUCCAA
Long non-coding RNA from Oncorhynchus keta (chum salmon), 642 nucleotides. RefSeq lists it as uncharacterized. The transcript is spliced from 4 exons. NCBI's taxonomy places the organism in Eukaryota, Metazoa, Chordata, Actinopteri, Salmoniformes, Salmonidae. The record is from RefSeq and is a predicted model, not a curated record.